GGGGAAUAUUGGACAAUGGGGGAAACCCUGAUCCAGCAAUGCCGCGUGAAUGAAGAAGGCCUUAGGGUUGUAAAGUUCUUUCACCUGUGAAGAUAAUGACGGUAGCAGGAGAAGAAGCCCCGGCUAACUCCGUGCCAGCAGCCGCGGUAAGACGGAGGGGGCUAGCGUUGUUCGGAAUGACUGGGCGUAAAGGGCGCGUAGGCGGUAUAAUAAGUGAGGCGUGAAAGCCCUGGGCUUAACCCAGGAGGUGCGUUUCAUACUGUUAUGCUAGAGUGCGAGAGAGGAAAGUGGAAUUCCUAGUGUAGAGGUGAAAUUCGUAGAUAUUAGGAAGAACACCAGAGGCGAAGGCGGCUUUCUGGCUCGCAACUGACGCUGAGGCGCGAAAGCGUGGGGAGCAAACAGGA
This 404-nucleotide ribosomal RNA is filed under the name uncultured Holosporaceae bacterium. RNAcentral describes it as "bacterial SSU rRNA". It matches the Rfam family "Bacterial small subunit ribosomal RNA", at positions 356 to 777 of the family's 1533-position model. Lineage: Bacteria; Pseudomonadati; Pseudomonadota; Alphaproteobacteria; Holosporales; Holosporaceae. The record is from RNAcentral.